GUUUUUAGNUUUUNNUGUACGCUCAGGAUGAACGCCGGCGGUGUGCCUAAUACAUGCAAGUCGAACGCGUUGGCCCAAUUGAUUGAUGGUGCUUGCACCUGAUUGAUUUUGGUCGCCAACGAGUGGCGGACGGGUGAGUAACACGUAGGUAACCUGCCCAGAAGCGGGGGACAACAUUUGGAAACAGAUGCUAAUACCGCAUAACAACGUUGUUCGCAUGAACAACGCUUAAAAGAUGGCUUCUCGCUAUCACUUCUGGAUGGACCUGCGGUGCAUUAGCUUGUUGGUGGGGUAAUGGCCUACCAAGGCGAUGAUGCAUAGCCGAGUUGAGAGACUGAUCGGCCACAAUGGGACUGAGACACGGCCCAUACUCCUACGGGAGGCAGCAGUAGGGAAUCUUCCACAAUGGGCGCAAGCCUGAUGGAGCAACACCGCGUGAGUGAAGAAGGGUUUCGGCUCGUAAAGCUCUGUUGUUAAAGAAGAACACGUAUGAGAGUAACUGUUCAUACGUUGACGGUAUUUAACCAGAAAGUCACGGCUAACUACGUGCCAGCAGCCGCGGUAAUACGUAGGUGGCAAGCGUUAUCCGGAUUUAUUGGGCGUAAAGAGAGUGCAGGCGGUUUUCUAAGUCUGAUGUGAAAGCCUUCGGCUUAACCGGAGAAGUGCAUCGGAAACUGGAUAACUUGAGUGCAGAAGAGGGUAGUGGAACUCCAUGUGUAGCGGUGGAAUGCGUAGAUAUAUGGAAGAACACCAGUGGCGAAGGCGGCUACCUGGUCUGCAACUGACGCUGAGACUCGAAAGCAUGGGUAGCGAACAGGAUUAGAUACCCUGGUAGUCCAUGCCGUAAACGAUGAGUGCUAGGUGUUGGAGGGUUUCCGCCCUUCAGUGCCGGAGCUAACGCAUUAAGCACUCCGCCUGGGGAGUACGACCGCAAGGUUGAAACUCAAAGGAAUUGACGGGGGCCCGCACAAGCGGUGGAGCAUGUGGUUUAAUUCGAAGCUACGCGAAGAACCUUACCAGGUCUUGACAUCUUGCGCCAACCCUAGAGAUAGGGCGUUUCCUUCGGGAACGCAAUGACAGGUGGUGCAUGGUCGUCGUCAGCUCGUGUCGUGAGAUGUUGGGUUAAUCCCGCAACGAGCGCA
This 1142-nucleotide ribosomal RNA is filed under the name Limosilactobacillus fermentum. Its description in RNAcentral is "bacterial SSU rRNA". It matches the Rfam family "Bacterial small subunit ribosomal RNA", at positions 1 to 1100 of the family's 1533-position model. Lineage: Bacteria; Bacillati; Bacillota; Bacilli; Lactobacillales; Lactobacillaceae. The record is from RNAcentral.